RNAcentral lists this unclassified non-coding RNA (354 nucleotides) under soil metagenome. Its description in RNAcentral is "partial contains 5.8S ribosomal RNA, internal transcribed spacer 2, and large subunit ribosomal RNA". The stretch from base 1 to 120 matches the Rfam family "5.8S ribosomal RNA", at positions 35 to 154 of the family's 154-position model. The record is from RNAcentral.
GAUGAAGAACGCAGCGAAACGCGAUAUGUAAUGUGAAUUGCAGAAUUCAGUGAAUCAUCGAAUCUUUGAACGCACAUGGCGCCUUCCAGUAUCCUGGGAGGCAUGCCUGUCCGAGCGUCGUUUCAACCCUCGAGCCCUCGUGGCCCGGCGUUGGGGAUCUGCCACGGCAGGCCCCGAAAUACAGUGGCGGACCCGUUAGGCCCUUCCUUUGCGUAGUAGCAUCAGCCUCGCAUCGGGAGCCGGCGGGCUAUCCUGCCUCUAAACCCCCCAACAAGCCCGCUCCGGCGGCACCAAGGUUGACCUCGGAUCAGGUAGGAAUACCCGCUGAACUUAAGCAUAUCAAUAAGCGGAGGA